RNAcentral lists this ribosomal RNA (515 nucleotides) under uncultured microorganism. RNAcentral's name for it is "bacterial SSU rRNA". It matches the Rfam family "Bacterial small subunit ribosomal RNA", at positions 9 to 508 of the family's 1533-position model. The record is from RNAcentral.
GAGUUUGAUCGUGGCUCAGGAUGAACGCUGGCGGCGUGCCUAAUACAUGCAAGUCGAGCGAACGGACGAGAAGCUUGCUCCUCUGAUGUUAGCGGCGGACGGGUGAGUAACACGUGGAUAACCUACCUAUAAGACUGGGAUAACUUCGGGAAACCGGAGCUAAUACCGGAUAAUAUUUUGAACCGCAUGGUUCAAAAGUGAAAGACGGUCUUGCUGUCACUUAUAGAUGGAUCCGCGCUGCAUUAGCUAGUUGGUAAGGUAACGGCUUACCAAGGCAACGAUGCAUAGCCGACCUGAGAGGGUGAUCGGCCACACUGGAACUGAGACACGGUCCAGACUCCUACGGGAGGCAGCAGUAGGGAAUCUUCCGCAAUGGGCGAAAGCCUGACGGAGCAACGCCGCGUGAGUGAUGAAGGUCUUCGGAUCGUAAAACUCUGUUAUUAGGGAAGACAUAUGUGUAAGUAACUGUGCACAUCUUGACGGUACCUAAUCAGAAAGCACGGCUAACUACGUCG